GCCUCUUUAGUCCAAUUGGCAGAGACACUUGAUUCAAACUCAAGGUGUUGUGAGUUCGACUCUCACAGGAGGUACCA
RNAcentral lists this transfer RNA (77 nucleotides) under Clostridia bacterium. RNAcentral describes it as "tRNA-Leu". It matches the Rfam family "tRNA". Rfam says of the family: Transfer RNA (tRNA) molecules are approximately 80 nucleotides in length. Their secondary structure includes four short double-helical elements and three loops (D, anti-codon, and T loops). The record is from RNAcentral. Lineage: Bacteria; Bacillati; Bacillota; Clostridia.